This 773-nucleotide ribosomal RNA is filed under the name bacterium AG. RNAcentral's name for it is "bacterial SSU rRNA". It matches the Rfam family "Bacterial small subunit ribosomal RNA", at positions 34 to 787 of the family's 1533-position model. Lineage: Bacteria; Pseudomonadati; Bacteroidota. The record is from RNAcentral.
CGCUAGCGGCAGGCCUAACACAUGCAAGUCGAGGGGUAACAUAGAAAAGCUUGCUUUUCUGAUGACGACCGGCGCACGGGUGCGUAACGCGUAUACAACCUACCUUUUAGCGGGGAAUAGCCCAGGGAAACUUGGAUUAAUGCCCCAUAGUAUAUANNCUUCUCCUGAAGUUUAUAUUAAACAUUUAUGGCUAUUAGAUGGGUAUGCGUCCUAUUAGUUAGUUGGUAAGGUAACGGCUUACCAAGGCAGCGAUAGGUAGGGGUCCUGAGAGGGAGAUCCCCCACACUGGUACUGAGACACGGACCAGACUCCUACGGGAGGCAGCAGUGAGGAAUAUUGGACAAUGGGCGAGAGCCUGAUCCAGCCAUGCCGCGUGCAGGAAGACUGCCCUAUGGGUUGUAAACUGCUUUUACAGAGGAAGAACCACCCCCACGUGUGGGGGUUUGACGGUACUCUGCGAAUAAGGAUCGGCUAACUCCGUGCCAGCAGCCGCGGUAAUACGGAGGAUCCAAGCGUUAUCCGGAAUCAUUGGGUUUAAAGGGUCCGUAGGCGGGCAGUUAAGUCAGUGGUGAAAGUCUUCCGCUCAACGGGAGAACUGCCAUUGAUACUGAUUGUCUUGAGUUAUUAUGAAGUGGUUAGAAUGAGUAGUGUAGCGGUGAAAUGCAUAGAUAUUACUCAGAAUACCCGAUUGCGAAAGGGCAGAUCACUAAUAAUAUACUUGACCCUGAUGGGACCAAAAGCGUAAGGUUAGCGAAACANGGAUUAAGAUACCC